GCGUACCGGAAGGUGCGCCUGGAAAGUUCAAUUCAGAGCUUGAUAAGUUAAGCAUCUCAUUUACACUGAGAAGUUACUGUGCAAUUCAGUUUGAUUUGAUAAUUAAAAAUUUACUUUAAUUGUUAGUUAUUGGGAUGAGUAAUAUGUUUAAUAAAAUCAUUUUUUAAGGGUUAGGUUUUUGUAUAGGUUAUAGAUGGAAUUUUAGUAGUGAUAGUUUAAUUGUAUUGUGAAAGAUUAUUGAAAUAUUUUGAAAAUUUGUUUGUUUAAUAGUAGAUUUAAUUUAUUGUACCUUGUGUAUCAGGGUUCAUUAAUAGUUUUGUAUUUAUUUACAUGUCCCGAUUUAAAGAGGGCUAAGCGUGUUUGUUAGUUAAUGUGGAAUAAUUAUUAAUGAAAUAUGUUUAGUAAUGAAAUGUUAUCCGUUCUUUAAGGUAUCUGGUUUUUUAAGAAAUGAAUUUAAUUCAGUUAUUGAAUUUUAUUGAUUUAAUUGAUUAAGUUGGUAUAAUUUAAUAAAAAUGUUUAGGGGGAUAAGCUUCUUUGCAUGAACUUAUAAAAUGGGGUUUUAAUGAAGAUUUUGUAGGCUUAGAAUUAGCCAUCAAUUAGAGGAUGUUAUAAUUUAUUUUUUAUUAAAUAUGAUUUUAUAUAGGUUUUAAGUUUUUUAUUAAAAUAUAGUUUAUAAUUUUAUAAAGUUAGUGAUAAUGAUGAAAUUAGUAUAAUGUGUUGUUAGUUAAUUUAUGUGUGUUAGGUUACAUUAAGGAAUUCGGCAAAUUAAUGCUCGCCUGUUUAACAAAAACAUGUCCUCAUGAGAAUAAUUUGAGGUCUGGCCUGCCCGCUGAACUGAUAAAGUUUGAAGGGCCGCGGUAUUUUGACCGUGCAAAGGUAGCAUAAUCAUUAGUCUUUUAAUUGGAGGCUAGUAUGAAUGGUUGGACGAGGUAUUGACUGUCUCAGUGUUAAUGAUGUUAGAAUUUAACUUUUAGGUCAAAAGGCUUAAAUGUGUUUAG
RNAcentral lists this ribosomal RNA (998 nucleotides) under Dictyogenus fontium. RNAcentral describes it as "partial large subunit ribosomal RNA". Lineage: Eukaryota; Metazoa; Arthropoda; Insecta; Plecoptera; Perlodidae. The record is from RNAcentral.